GGUAUGACGGUACCCUUUCGAAUAAGAGGUUGCUAACUCUGUGCCAGCAGCAGCGGUAAUACAGAGACCUCGAGCGUUAUCCGGAUUUACUGGGCGUAAAGCGUCUGUAGGGGGUUUGUUAAGUUCCAAGUAAAAUCUUAAGGCUCAACUUUAAGUUCGCUUGGAAAACUAAUAAACUGGAGUCCAGCAGAGGUGCAUGGAACUUGCGGUGUAGGAGUGAAAUCCGUUGAUAUCGCAAGGAACACCAAAGGCGAAGGCAUUGCACUGGGCUGGUACUGACCCUGAGAGACGAAAGCGUGGGGAGCAAAACGGAUUAGAUACCCGUGUAGUCCACGCCGUAAACGAUGGAUACUAGAUGUUCGGGGAUUCGACCCCCUGGGUGUCACAGCUAACGCGUUAAGUAUCCCGCCUGGGAAGUACGGCCGCAAGGCUAAAACUCAAAGGAAUAGACGGGGAUCCGCGCAAGCGGUGGAGCGUCUGGUUUAAUUUGAUAGUAAGCAAUGGACCUCACCAAGGUUUGACAUCCUAUGACAACCCUGGAAACAGGGCUUUCUUCGGGCAUAGUGACAGGUGCUGCAUGGUCGUCGUCAGUUCGUGCCGUGAGGUGUUCCGUUAAGUCGGGAAACGAACGAAACCCUCGUCGCAUGUUACAAAUUUCAUGCGAGACUGCCCGGGUCAACCGGGAGGAAGGCGGGGAUGACGUCAGAUCAGCAUGGCCCUUAUACCUUGGGCUACACAGGCGCUACAAUGGCCGGUACAAAGGGUUGCAAAACCGCGAGGUGAAGCUAAUCCCAUAAAGCCGGUCCAAGUUCGGAUUGGAGGCUGCAACUCGCCUCCAUGAAGUUGGAAUCGCUAGUAAUCGUGGAUCAGCCAUACCACGGUGAUACGUUCCCGGAUCUUGUACUCACCGCCCGUCACACCAAGAGAGUUGGUA
Molecule: ribosomal RNA, 934 nt
Filed under: uncultured organism
Description: bacterial SSU rRNA
Rfam family: Bacterial small subunit ribosomal RNA
Source: RNAcentral